Molecule: long non-coding RNA, 1185 nt
Organism: Ctenopharyngodon idella (grass carp)
Lineage: Eukaryota; Metazoa; Chordata; Actinopteri; Cypriniformes; Xenocyprididae
Exons: 2
Source: RefSeq, a predicted model, not a curated record
UAAUUUUGGGUAGGACAUGAUGCAAGUAAUGGCUUGCACUGCAAGACAAGUCAAGAACUUUUUGCUGACUCAGUGAGUCAUUAGAGUGAGUGGUUUUUGAGUGAUUCGUUAAAAAGAAUCAGUUCAUAAGAGUCAAUUGUUUAUGAGAAGGACUUCAUACUGUGAGGAAAUCCCAAAAGAAAGACGAGAAAAACUCACAACUCAAAAUAGUGGUCCAGGAAGCAGUCAUGAAAUGAUCCAGAAUUUAAAAAUAAAUAAAUAAAAGAACUGGAUCUCAGUUCCCAAUCCUAAUUGUUUCCUUAUUUAAGAGUUGCAUCAGAUCUGAAACACUAAAAUUGUCCAAAAUAAAAGACAACUAGAGGCAGAAUAGAACAGCAGCAUACAAAAAAAAAAACUGAUUAUACAAACAUAGGCCUCAUCAUCAGCUGCCUGUUUGUUAAAGCUCCAGCCACAGAGACACACCAUGUACUAGCGUUAUGAUAAAACCGUUUAAUCAUUAGCCUGAACAAGGUCAGCGGUUCCCAGGGUUUCAAUUUGCGCAGUGUGAAACAAACAUAUGGAGCGCCCAGGGUGUUACCGUUAGCAUGGUAGCUUACUAGACACUGGGAUUCGGUCAAGAACAGCACUGACAUUGGACCCAGAGGAGGGCUGGCUGCAAUCCCAGGAACUAGGCCUCGGCUAAGGAUCUGAUUAUGGAAGAAAUAUGGAAAGCAAUAGGAAGGAGUUGAUGAGAAAAACCAAUGCAAGAUCCAUCAGACCACCACGCUUCCUCAGAACAGUACUGUAAACAUCUCAGCACAUAGUCCUGAUGGAUUAUGAGUGCACUGCUUUUCAUUCCAACUACUCUGAGAUGCCCUGCUUAAUUCAGAACAUGGAAUUGCCUACAGCAUUGCCAGAAGUACAAGUAGUGAAUAUUUAAUGACAGCACUUUCACAUGAAUUUCAAGAGAGAGGGGGGAGGGGGGAUACAAAUGCCAAAUAGUUUAAAAUGUCAUUAUAAAACUCUAAAUUAUGAUUAGAUGAGUCAUUUUUAAAGUCACUGGAAAAUGUAGAUAAACUCACACCUGUGAACGCUGUUCUAUAUUAACAUUCAAAGUUGUUUAACGACGGUAAACGGUCUGCAGUUAGGCUAAUAAACUAUAUUACAUGACAUUUUUAUUAUUAAUAAACUUAACUAUUUAUUUAA